This 3277-nucleotide ribosomal RNA is filed under the name Capsicum baccatum. RNAcentral's name for it is "bacterial LSU rRNA". It matches the Rfam family "Eukaryotic large subunit ribosomal RNA". The record is from RNAcentral. Lineage: Eukaryota; Viridiplantae; Streptophyta; Magnoliopsida; Solanales; Solanaceae.
GCAACUCCAGAUCAGACGGUAAUACCCGCUAAUUUUAAGCAUAUCAAUAAGCAGGGGAAAAGAAACUUACAAGGAUUUCCUUAGUAAUGGCGAGCGAACGGGGAACAUCCCUUCCUUAGAAUCGGGCGGAUCCGUCAUCCAAAUUGAAGUCUGAAGAAGUAUCCUCAAUGGUGGAAUGAUCACAAGUCCCUUAAAAGGGGGUACCAGAGUAGGAGAGAUCCCCGUUAUGCUCGGACCCUUUCGCACCUCGAGGUGCUGUGUACGAGUUGGGUUGUUUGGGAAUGCAACCUAAAUCGGGCGGUGAAUUCUGUCAAAGGCUAAAUAUGGGCAAGAAACCGAUAGAUACAAGUGCCGUAAGGGAAAGGUGAAAAGGAGUUUGAAAAAAGAGUCAAAGAGUGCUUGAAAUUGUUGGGAGAAAAGCGGAUGGAGGUUGGCGAUGCACCUCGGUCGGAUGUGGAACCGCGAAAAGAAAGUUUGAUGAUUGACUCAGGGCGUGGAUUUGCGUUGAUUAGGUGAUGGUCAAAGACCGGGCUCUCGAUACACUCGUGGAAUGUUGUCUCCUCGAUUAUGGCAAGCAGCGCACGCCUUUGGUGAGCUUCGACAUCUGCGUGCUUCGGACGCUAGCCUGUGGGCUCUCUAUUGGACCUGACUUAAAACACGGACAAAAGAGUCUGAUAUGUGUGAGAGUCAAUGGGAGAGUAAAACCGUAAGGCGUAAGGAAGUUGAUUCGUGGGAUCCCCCUGAGGGGUGCAUCGCCGAUCGACCUUGAUCUUCUGAGAAGGGUUCGAGUGUGAGCAUACCUGUCGGGACUCGAAAGAUGGUGGACUAUGCCUAAGUUGGUAAAAGCUAGAAGAAAAUAUGAUGGAGACCUACAGUGAUACUAACGUGCAAAAUCAUUCAUCUGACUUGGGUAUAGGGGCGAAAGACCAAUCGAACCAUUUAGUAGCUAGUUCCCUUUGAAGUUUCCCUCAGGAUAGUUGGAUCUCAUGUGCGAGUUCUAUCGGGUAAAGCCAAUGAUUAGAGGCCUUGGGGGAGCAACACCCUUGACUCAUUCUCAAACUUUAAAUAGGUAGGACCGCGCGACUGCUUUGUAUAGCCGUGCUACGGAAUCAAGAGCUCCAAGUGGGCCAUUUUUGGUAAGCAAAACUGGUGAUGCAGGAUGAAUCGGAAGCCGGGUUACGGUGCCAAACUGUGCACUAACCUAGAUCCCACAAAUGGUGUUGGUCGAUUAAGACAGCAGGACGGUGGUCAUGGAAGUUGAAAUCCUCUAAGAAGCGUGUAACGACUCACCUGCCGAAACAACUAGCCCCAUAAAUUGACGACGCUUAAGCGUGCGACCUACCCUCUACUAUCGGGAAAAUUUCUAGGCCUCGAUGAGUAGGACGGCGUGAUGAUCGCUGCAAAACCUUAGGCCCAAGCCCGGGCAGAGCAGUCGUUGGUAUAGAUCUUGGUGGUAGUAGAAAAUAUUCAAGUGAGAACUUUGAAGGCCGAAUAGGGGAAAGGUUCUAUGUGAAUGCCACUUGCACAUAGGUUAGUCGAUCCUAAGGGUUGGGGGAACCCCGAAAGAUAGCAUAUUUCGCACGUACUUCAAAAGAAAAUCAGGUUAAAAUUCCUGAGCUGGGAUGUGGUAGUCGACUACAACAUUAGAAAGUCUAAAGACGUUAACGGGAGCCUCGGAAAGAGUUAUCUUUUCUGCUUAACAGCCUGUCCACCCUGGAAUUGGCUCAGUCGAAGGUAGAGUCCAGCGACUGGAAGAGUACUACACGUCGUGUGGUGUUCUAUGCGCUUCUGAAGCCCUUUGAAAAUCCAGAGAACUGAAUGUCAUCCACGCCCGGUCGUACUCAUAACCGUAUUAGGUCUCUAAGGUGAACAACCUAUGGUUUAUGGAACAAUGUAGGCAAGGAAAGUCUGCAAAAUAGAUCUAUAACUUCAGGAAAAGGAUUGGCUCUGAGGGCUAGGCACGGGGUCUUAGUCCCAAACCCAUCAGUUGUCGGUGGACUGCUUGAGCUGCCCCCGCAGUAUGAGUGGGUCACCGUAUGCCCGCUGGGGGAUGGACUGGGAAUGGUUCCUUCGGGGGCCUUCCCCGUGCAUUGAAUAGCCAACUCAGAACUGGUAUGGGCAAGGAGAAUCUGACUUUUUAAUUAAAACAAAGCAUUGUUAUGGUCCUAAUAUAUGUUCACGCAAUGUGAUUUUUUUCCAGUGCUCUAACUAACAAAGUAAAGAAAUUCAACCAAGCGCGGGUAAACAGAUGUAGUAACUAUGACUCUCUUAAGGUAGCCAAAUGCCUCGUCAUCUAAUUAGUGACACACAUGAAUGAAUUAAUGAGAUUCCCACUGUACCUAUUUACUAUCCAGUAUAACCGUAACCACAGGAACGGGCUUGGCAGAAUCAGCGGGGAAAGAAGACCCUAUUUAACUUGACUCUAGUCUGACUUUGUGAAAUGUCUUGAGAGGUGUAGUAUAAGUGCGAGCUGAAAUGAAAAAGUGAAAUACCACUAUUUUUAACAUUAUUUUACUUAUUCUGUGAAUGGAAGCGGGGCAUUGCCUCUCUUUUUGGACCUAAGGUUCGCUCAGUAGGCCUACCCAGGUAGAAGACAUUGUCAGGUGGGGAGUUUGGCUGGGGUGGCACAUUUGUUAAAAGAUAAUGUAUAUGUCCUAAAACGAGCUCAACAAGAAUAGAAAUCUUAUGUGGAACAGAAGGGUAUAAACUCAUUUGAUUCUGAUUUCCAGUAUGAAUACGAACCAUGAAAGCAUGGCCUAAAAAUCCUUUAAACCUUUAAAAUACGAAGCUAGAGGUGUCAAAAAAGUUACGAAAGGGAUAACUAGCUUAUGGUAGCCAAGUGUUCAUAGCGAUGUUGCUUUUUAAUCCUUCGAUGUCGACUCUUCCUAUCAUUGUGAAGCAGAAUUCACCAAGCAUUGGAUUGUUCACUCACCAAUAGGGAACGUGAGCAGGAUUUAGACCCUCGUGAGAUAGUUUAGUUUUGCCCUAUUGAUGAUAGUGUCUCAAUAGUAAUUCAACCUAGUACAAGAGUAUCAAUUAAUUCACAUAAUUGGUCCUCACGUUUGGUUUAAAAGCCAUUGGCACAAAGCUACCGCAUGCUGGAUUAUGAUUGAAUGCCUCUAAUUUAGAAUCAGGUCUAGAAGCGACACAUGUGCCUGUCGUUCGCUUGUUGACCUACAGUAGGGGCCUUGGCCCCCGAGGGCACGUUUUGUUAGCUAAGCAAUCACGGCGAAACAAUCGCGAUAGCCGCUCUAUAGUAAAAUUUUCAUUGAUUGGC